GAUGAACGCUGGCGGCGUGCCUAAUACAUGCAAGUCGAGCGAACAGACGAGGAGCUUGCUCCUCUGACGUUAGCGGCGGACGGGUGAGUAACACGUGGAUAACCUACCUAUAAGACUGGGAUAACUUCGGGAAACCGGAGCUAAUACCGGAUGAUAUAUUGAACCGCAUGGUUCAAUAGUGAAAGACGGUUUUGCUGUCACUUAUAGAUGGAUCCGCGCCGCAUUAGCUAGUUGGUAAGGUAACGGCUUACCAAGGCAACGAUGCGUAGCCGACCUGAGAGGGUGAUCGGCCAAACUGGAACUGAGACACGGUCCAGACUCCUACGGGAGGCAGCAGUAGGGAAUCUUCCGCAAUGGGCGAAAGCCUGACGGAGCAACGCCGCGUGAGUGAUGAAGGUCUUCGGAUCGUAAAACUCUGUUAUUAGGGAAGAACAAAUGUGUAAGUAACUAUGCACGUCUUGACGGUACCUAAUCAGAAAGCCACGGCUAACUACGUG
This 497-nucleotide ribosomal RNA is filed under the name uncultured bacterium. RNAcentral's name for it is "partial 16S ribosomal RNA". It matches the Rfam family "Bacterial small subunit ribosomal RNA", at positions 28 to 507 of the family's 1533-position model. The record is from RNAcentral.